GUGCUCUCUUCAGCAGCAUAUAUACUAAAAUUGGAACAAUACAGAGAAGAUUAGCAUGGCCGCUGCACAAAUGCAAAUUUGUGAAGUGUUCCAUAUCUUU
This is a small nuclear RNA of Erinaceus europaeus (western European hedgehog), 100 nucleotides long. The record is from Ensembl. NCBI's taxonomy places the organism in Eukaryota, Metazoa, Chordata, Mammalia, Eulipotyphla, Erinaceidae.